RNAcentral lists this ribosomal RNA (465 nucleotides) under uncultured bacterium. RNAcentral's name for it is "partial 16S ribosomal RNA". It matches the Rfam family "Bacterial small subunit ribosomal RNA", at positions 338 to 795 of the family's 1533-position model. The record is from RNAcentral.
CCUACGGGAGGCAGCAGUGGGGAAUUUUGCGCAAUGCUCGUAAGAGUGACGCAGCGACGCCGCGUGAAUGACGAAGGCCUUCGGGUCGUAAAGUUCUUUCGACAGGGAAGAAAAUGCCUAUAAGUAACUGUGUAUGUAUUGACGGUACCUGUAUAAGCAGCCCCGGCUAACUCCGUGCCAGCAGCCGCGGUAAUACGGAGGGGGCGAGCGUUGUUCGGAGUGACUGGGCGUAAAGAGCACGUAGGCGGUGUUGUAAGUCAUUAGUCAAAGACUAGAGCUCAACUUUAGUAAGGCUAGUGAUACUAUAAUACUAGAGUAUCAGAGAGGAUUGCAGAAUUCCUGGUGUAGCGGUGAAAUGCGUAGAUAUCAGGAGGAAUACCGUUAGCGAAGGCGGCUUGCUGCAGCGGAACUGACGCUGAUGCUCGAAAGCGCGGGUAUCGAACAGGAUUAGAUACCCGUGUAGUC